Molecule: ribosomal RNA, 372 nt
Filed under: uncultured Glomeromycotina
Lineage: Eukaryota; Fungi; Glomeromycota
Description: eukaryotic LSU rRNA
Source: RNAcentral
UUGAAAGGGAAACGAUUGAAGUCAGUCGUACCGACGAGAAAUCAGCUUAUCGUGUGUUAACUUGUGGGCGUGCGUGAGUUUCGGCCUCGCUGCUUGCAUGUUUGUGCUUUUUGGGUGUACUUUUUCGUAUGGUUGGCCAACGUCAGUCUCGGUUAUCAUAAAAUGAUUGGAGGAAUGUAGCUUCGAUCUUGUAUUGAAGUGUUAUAGCCUCUGGUAGGUGUGGUGAACGAAACUGAGGAUUGCAACGAAUACCCUUUGGGCUAUCCGUCUGACCUCUGAAAGUUGCUUGGGUGCCGAAAGCUUGCUUACGGUCAUCCAUGAUGACGGUCAAAAGGUUAGAACGUGAUUACAUUCGUUAAGGAUGUUGACGUA